Long non-coding RNA from Salvelinus fontinalis (brook trout), 221 nucleotides. RefSeq lists it as uncharacterized. Lineage: Eukaryota; Metazoa; Chordata; Actinopteri; Salmoniformes; Salmonidae. The transcript has 2 exons. The record is from RefSeq and is a predicted model, not a curated record.
GGUUACUGUUGGUGUGUGACCAGUACCGGACAGAAGAUCCAGGGUACUGAGACUCCACCAGGCACUGCUCCAAUCAACUGCUAGCAACUGUUCCACCAAGGUGAAAGGCGUUGGAAUGAAGAUGUUCAAAGAAAACGAUGAAAUGAUUGACGGUUGUCUUUACUGUACUACAGGAACUGAUUCACAUCCCAUAUAAACAGAUUAAAUGGUUGAAUUACUUA